CCUACGGGAGGCAGCAGUGAGGAAUAUUGGUCAAUGGGCGAGAGCCUGAACCAGCCAAGUCGCGUGAGGGAGUACUGCCCUAUGGGUUGUAAACCUCUUUUGUCGGGGAGCAAAAGCCGGACGUGUCCGGCUGUGAGAGUACCCGAAGAAAAAGCAUCGGCUAACUCCGUGCCAGCAGCCGCGGUAAUACGGAGGAUGCGAGCGUUAUCCGGAGUUAUUGGGUUUAAAGGGUGCGCAGGCGGAUUUUUAAGUCAGCGGUAAAAUCGUGGGGCUCAACCCCAUCCAGCCGUUGAAACUGGGGAUCUAGAGUGUGCGAGAGGUAUGCGGAAUGCGUGGUGUAGCGGUGAAAUGCAUAGAUAUCACGCAGAACCCCGAUUGCGAAGGCAGCAUACCGGUGCACAACUGACGCUCAGGCACGAAAGCGUGGGUAUCGAACAGGAUUAGAUACCCCUGUAGUC
RNAcentral lists this ribosomal RNA (458 nucleotides) under uncultured bacterium. RNAcentral describes it as "partial 16S ribosomal RNA". It matches the Rfam family "Bacterial small subunit ribosomal RNA", at positions 338 to 795 of the family's 1533-position model. The record is from RNAcentral.